Molecule: ribosomal RNA, 1488 nt
Filed under: Corixidea sp. UCR ENT 00097836
Lineage: Eukaryota; Metazoa; Arthropoda; Insecta; Hemiptera; Schizopteridae
Description: SSU rRNA
Rfam family: Eukaryotic small subunit ribosomal RNA
Source: RNAcentral
AAUAUCUGGUUGAUCCUGCCAGUAGUCAUAUGCUUGUCUCAAAGCUUAAGCCAUGCAUGUCUAUGUACAAACUAAAUUAAGGUAAAACCGCAAAAUGCUCAUUAAACUAGUUAUAGUUAACUAGAAUGAUAAAAUUUAAUUGGAUAACUGUGGUAAUUCUAGAGCUAAUACAUGCAAUCAGGUUUUGCUCAGUAAUGAGAAAAACGCUUUUAUUAGAUCAAAACCAAUCGAAUAGUUUACUAUUCGUUUUUUUGAUGACUCUGAAUAACACCGCAGAUCGCACAGUCUAAGUACUGGCGAUAUAUCUUUCAAAUGCCUGACUUAUCAACUGUCGAUGGUAGAUUAUAUGUCUACCAUGGUUAUAACGGGUAACGGGGAAUCAGGGUUCGAUUCCGGAGAGGGAGCCUGAGAAACAGCUACCACAUCCAAGGAAGGCAGCAGGCACGCAAAUUACCCACUCCCGGCACGGGGAGGUAGUGACAAAAAAUAACGAUACGGGACUCAUCCGAGGCNNNNNNAUCGGAAUGAGUACACUUUAAAUCCUUUCAUGAGGAUCCAUUGGAGGGCAAGCCUGGUGCCAGCAGCCGCGGUAAUUCCAGCUCCAAUAGCGUAUAUUAAAGCUGUUGCGGUUAAAAAGCUCGUAGUUGGUUCUGUGUGCCAUGCUGUUGGUUCACCGCCUGUCGGUGCAACUAACAUGUCAUGGAACGUNNNNNNNNNNNNNNNNNNNNNCCUAUUUUUUAGUUCAAGUUUUACUUGAACUAAAGAUAGGUUCCUUUAAUUACCGAUUAGUUCCUACCGCGGUGCUCUUCACUGAGUGUCGAGGUCGGCCGACAAGUUUACUUUGAACAAAUUAGAGUGCUUAAAGCAGGCAAAAAUCUGCCUUGAAUAGUGGUGCAUGGAAUAAUAGAAUAGGACCUUGGUUCUAUUUUGCUGGUUUUCUGAAUCCAAGGUAAUGAUCAAUAUGGACAGGCGGGGGCAUUCGUAUUGCGACGUUAGAGGUGAAAUUCUUGGAUCGUCGCAAGACGAACUAGAGCGAAAGCAUUUGCCAAGUAUGUCUUAAUUGAUCAAGAACGAAAGUUAGAGGUUCGAAGGCGAUCAGAUACCGCCCUAGUUCUAACCAUAAACGAUGCCAGCUAGCGAUCCGCCGAUGUUUUUCUCAUGACUCGACGGGCAGCUCCCCGGGAAACCAAAGCUUUUGGGUUCCGGGGGAAGUAUGGUUGCAAAGCUGAAACUUAAAGGAAUUGACGGAAGGGCACCACCAGGAGUGGAGCUUGCGGUUUAAUUUGACUCAACACGGGAAACUUUAUCAGGCCCAGACAUUGGAAGGAUUGACAGAUUGAUAGCUCUUUCUUGAUUCAAUGGGUAGUGGUGCAUGGCCGUCCUUAGUUGGUGGAACGAUUUGUCUGGUUAAUUCCGAUAACGAACGAGACUCUAGCAUACUAACUAGACGCUUGGUAUUUUUGCUACCAGCGUUUUUAUUCUUCUUAG